GCGGAUAUGGCGGAAUUGGCAGACGCGCAUGGUUCAGGUCCAUGUGAACGCAAGUUCAUGCAGGUUCAACUCCUGUUAUCCGCACCA
RNAcentral lists this transfer RNA (87 nucleotides) under Ruminococcus flavefaciens. It matches the Rfam family "tRNA". Rfam says of the family: Transfer RNA (tRNA) molecules are approximately 80 nucleotides in length. Their secondary structure includes four short double-helical elements and three loops (D, anti-codon, and T loops). Lineage: Bacteria; Bacillati; Bacillota; Clostridia; Eubacteriales; Oscillospiraceae. RNAcentral also lists the same sequence under 1 other name. The record is from RNAcentral.